GAGAGAAUGGGGCCUAACCGGCCUCACCUCUUCACCCGUGUUUAUCGAAACAAAUGUUGCUUUGGCGGGCCAGGGCCAUGUCCCUGGGCGGGCUCAUCCCCACUCAGCGCCCGCCAGAGGCCCUAUCAAACCCUGUGAUCAGUGUCGUCCGAGUAAAAAACAAGAAUAAACUAAAACUUUCAACAACGGAUCUCUUGGUUCC
RNAcentral lists this unclassified non-coding RNA (202 nucleotides) under rhizosphere metagenome. Its description in RNAcentral is "partial ribosomal RNA internal transcribed spacer region". The record is from RNAcentral.